CCUACGGGAGGCUGCAGUGAGGAAUAUUGGUCAAUGGGCGCGAGCCUGAACCAGCCAAGUAGCGUGAAGGAUGACUGCCCUACGGGUUGUAAACUUCUUUUAUCAAGGAAUAAAGUGAGGGACGUGUGCCGUUUUGUAAGUACUUUAUGAAUAAGGAUCGGCUAACUCCGUGCCAGCAGCCGCGGUAAUACGGAGGAUCCGAGCGUUAUCCGGAUUUAUUGGGUUUAAAGGGAGCGUAGAUGGGUGGGUAAGGCAGUUGUGAAAGUUUGCGGCUCAACCGUAAAAUGGCGAUUGAUACUGGCUGUCUUGAGUACACGUGAGGUAGGCGGAAGUCGUGGUGUAGCGGUGAAAUGCUUAGAUAUCACGCAGAACCCCGAUUGCGAAGGCAGCAUGCCGGCUGCCUACUGACGCUGAUGCACGAAAGCGUGGGGAUCGAACAGGAUUAGAUACCCGUGUAGUC
This 460-nucleotide ribosomal RNA is filed under the name uncultured bacterium. RNAcentral's name for it is "partial 16S ribosomal RNA". It matches the Rfam family "Bacterial small subunit ribosomal RNA", at positions 338 to 795 of the family's 1533-position model. The record is from RNAcentral.